UAGGGAAUAUUAGUAAUGGGCGAAAGCCUGAACUAGCAACGCCGCGUGUGCGAAGAAGGCCUUCGGGUUGUAAAGCACUUUUUGAGAGGAUGAGGAAGGACGGUACUCCAGAAUAAGUCUCGGCUAACUACGUGCCAGCAGCCGCGGUAACACGUAGGAGGCGAACGUUAUCCGGAUUUACUGGGCGUAAAGCGCGUGUAGGUGGUUCUGUAAGUAGGGCGUGAAAGCUCCUGGCUCAACUGGGAGAGGCCGUUCUAAACUGCAGAGCUAGAGGAUGGUAGAGGGAGGUGGAAUUCCAGGUGUAGCGGUGGAAUGCGCAGAUAUCUGGAGGAACACCAGUGACGAAUGCAGCCUCCUGGACCAUUCCUGACACUCAGACGCGAAAGCUAGGGUAGCAAACGG
RNAcentral lists this ribosomal RNA (402 nucleotides) under uncultured bacterium. RNAcentral's name for it is "bacterial SSU rRNA". It matches the Rfam family "Bacterial small subunit ribosomal RNA", at positions 355 to 775 of the family's 1533-position model. The record is from RNAcentral.